UCAGUGAAAUCGAGUAGGGCGGGACACGUGAUAUCCUGUCUGAAUAUGGGGGGACCAUCCUCCAAGGCUAAAUACUACUGACUGACCGAUAGUGAACCAGUACCGUGAGGGAAAGGCGAAAAGAACCCCUGUGAGGGGAGUGAAAUAGAACCUGAAACCGUGUACGUACAAGCAGUAGGAGCAGGCUUUGUCCUGUGACUGCGUACCUUUUGUAUAAUGGGUCAGCGACUUAUAUUCAGUGGCAAGGUUAACCAUCUAGGGGAGCCGUAGGGAAACCGAGUCUUAACUGGGCGUUCAGUCUCUGGAUAUAGACCCGAAACCAGGUGAUCUAGCCAUGGGCAGGUUGAAGGUUGAGUAACAUCAACUGGAGGACCGAACCGACUAAUGUUGAAAAAUUAGCGGAUGACUUGUGGCUAGGGGUGAAAGGCCAAUCAAACCUGGAGAUAGCUGGUUCUCCCCGAAAGCUAUUUAGGUAGCGCCUCGGACGAAUACUACUGGGGGUAGAGCACUGUUAAGGCUAGGGGGUCAUCCCGACUUACCAACCCUUUGCAAACUCCGAAUACCAGUAAGUACUAUCCGGGAGACACACGGCGGGUGCUAACGUCCGUCGUGGAGAGGGAAACAACCCAGACCGCCAGCUAAGGUCCCAAAUUACUACUAAGUGGGAAACGAUGUGGGAAGGCUCAGACAGCCAGGAUGUUGGCUUAGAAGCAGCCAUCAUUUAAAGAAAGCGUAAUAGCUCACUGGUCGAGUCGGCCUGCGCGGAAGAUGUAACGGGGCUAAGUA
Molecule: ribosomal RNA, 786 nt
Filed under: Vibrio parahaemolyticus
Lineage: Bacteria; Pseudomonadati; Pseudomonadota; Gammaproteobacteria; Vibrionales; Vibrionaceae
Description: partial 23S ribosomal RNA
Rfam family: Bacterial large subunit ribosomal RNA
Source: RNAcentral